UACAGAGGUCUCAAGCGUUGUUCGGAUUCAUUGGGCGUAAAGGGUGCGUAGGCGGCGCGGUAAGUCGGGUGUGAAAUCUUGGAGCUUAACUCCGAAACUGCAUUCGAUACUGCCGUGCUUGAGGACUGGAGAGGAGACUGGAAUUCCUGGUGUAGCGGUGAAAUGCGCAGAUAUCAGGAGGAACACCGAUGGCGAAGGCAGGUCUCUGGACAGUUCCUGACGCUGAGGCACGAAGGCCAGGGGAGCAAACGGG
This 253-nucleotide ribosomal RNA is filed under the name uncultured bacterium. RNAcentral's name for it is "partial 16S ribosomal RNA". It matches the Rfam family "Bacterial small subunit ribosomal RNA", at positions 524 to 776 of the family's 1533-position model. The record is from RNAcentral.